GAUGAAGAACGCAGCGAAAUGCGAUAAGUAAUGUGAAUUGCAGAAUUCAGUGAAUCAUCGAAUCUUUGAACGCACAUUGCGCCCGCCAGUAUUCUGGCGGGCAUGCCUGUCUGAGCGUCAUUUCAACCCUCAUGCCCCUAGGGCGUGGUGUUGGGGAUCGGCCAAAGCCCGCGAGGGACGGCCGGCCCCUAAAUCUAGUGGCGGACCCGUCGUGGCCUCCUCUGCGAAGUAGUGAUAUUCCGCAUCGGAGAGCGAUGAGCCCCUGCUGUUAAACCCCCAACUUUCCAAGGUUGACCUCAGAUCAGGUAGGAAUACCCGCUGAACUUAAGCAUAUCAAUAAGCGGAGGA
This 348-nucleotide unclassified non-coding RNA is filed under the name soil metagenome. Its description in RNAcentral is "partial contains 5.8S ribosomal RNA, internal transcribed spacer 2, and large subunit ribosomal RNA". The stretch from base 1 to 120 matches the Rfam family "5.8S ribosomal RNA", at positions 35 to 154 of the family's 154-position model. The record is from RNAcentral.